AUUGAACGCUGGCGGCAUGCCUUACACAUGCAAGUCGAACGGUAACGGGCCUUCGGGUGCCGACGAGUGGCGAACGGGUGAGUAAUGUAUCGGAACGUACCUUUCAGUGGGGGAUAACGUAGCGAAAGUUACGCUAAUACCGCAUAUUCUGUGAGCAGGAAAGCAGGGGAUCGCAAGACCUUGCGCUGAUUGAGCGGCCGAUACCAGAUUAGCUAGUUGGUGAGGUAAAGGCUCACCAAGGCGACGAUCUGUAGCGGGUCUGAGAGGAUGAUCCGCCACACUGGAACUGAGACACGGUCCAGACUCCUACGGGAGGCAGCAGUGGGGAAUUUUGGACAAUGGGGGCAACCCUGAUCCAGCCAUGCCGCGUGAGUGAAGAAGGCCUUCGGGUUGUAAAGCUCUUUCGGCCGGGAAGAAAUCGUAUGGGUUAAUACCCUGUGCGGAUGACGGUACCGGCAUAAGAAGCACCGGCUAACUACGUG
This 482-nucleotide ribosomal RNA is filed under the name uncultured bacterium. Its description in RNAcentral is "bacterial SSU rRNA". It matches the Rfam family "Bacterial small subunit ribosomal RNA", at positions 30 to 507 of the family's 1533-position model. The record is from RNAcentral.